UACGUAGGGUGCGAGCGUUGUCCGGAAUUAUUGGGCGUAAAGAGCUUGUAGGCGGUUUGUCGCGUCUGCCGUGAAAAUCCGGGGCUCAACCCCGGACUUGCGGUGGGUACGGGCAGACUAGAGUGUGGUAGGGGAGACUGGAAUUCCUGGUGUAGCGGUGAAAUGCGCAGAUAUCAGGAGGAACACCGAUGGCGAAGGCAGGUCUCUGGGCCACUACUGACGCUGAGAAGCGAAAGCAUGGGGAGCGAACAGG
Molecule: ribosomal RNA, 253 nt
Filed under: uncultured bacterium
Lineage: Bacteria
Description: partial 16S ribosomal RNA
Rfam family: Bacterial small subunit ribosomal RNA
Source: RNAcentral